RNAcentral lists this ribosomal RNA (503 nucleotides) under uncultured bacterium. RNAcentral describes it as "bacterial SSU rRNA". It matches the Rfam family "Bacterial small subunit ribosomal RNA", at positions 24 to 518 of the family's 1533-position model. The record is from RNAcentral.
UCAGAUUGAACGCUGGCGGCAGGCUAACACAUGCAAGUCGACGGUAACAGGAAGAAGCUGCUCUUUGCUGACGAGUGGCGGACGGGUGAGUAAUGUCUGGGAAACUGCCUGAUGGAGGGGGAGUAACUACUGGAAACGGUAGCUAAUACCGCAUAACGUCGCAAGACCAAAGAGGGGGACCUUCGGGCCUCUUGCCACCGGAUGUGCCCAGAUGGGAUUAGCUUGUUGGUGGGGUAACGGCUCACCAAGGCGACGAUCCCUAGCUGGUCUGAGAGGAUGACCAGCCACACUGGAACUGAGACACGGUCCAGACUCCUACGGGAGGCAGCAGUGGGGAAUAUUGCACAAUGGGCGCAAGCCUGAUGCAGCCAUGCCCGCGUGUAUGAAGAAGGCCUUCGGGUUGUAAAGUACUUUCAGCGGGGAGGAAGGGAGUAAAGUUAAUACCUUUGCUCAUUGACGUUACCCGCAGAAGAAGCACCGGCUAACUCCGUGCCAGCCGCCGC